This 7862-nucleotide long non-coding RNA is filed under the name Vigna radiata. Its description in RNAcentral is "long non-coding RNA (VRAD_LNC002941)". The record is from RNAcentral. Lineage: Eukaryota; Viridiplantae; Streptophyta; Magnoliopsida; Fabales; Fabaceae.
AAAGUCAACUUAAUGUAAAAGUGUAGGGAAAGAGAAAGCAAACACAGAGUUUUUAUACUAGUUCAGCCUCAAUGCCUACAUCCAGUGUCCUUCUAGGAAGCCAAUGCACUAUAUUAGUCAAGGUUUUUACAACAAGAUUUCUAUAGAGACCUCCACGUAAAAAAUAUAGACAAUCUCUCUAACCCUUUAACUAAAAGUAUAGGCAAUCAACACAAAGAUAUGCAGCAAGAUAUCCUCUCUUCUACAAUCUUCAACCCACUUUGGACAAUCCUCAAAGUGUCAGAACUCCAUAAGUCCACCUCCUGUAAUCCCAACAGGACAACAACAAUCUUUCCAAAGAUUGAUAGAAAACUUGAUAAGUAUGAUGACACCAACUUUGCAAAUCUUGAUCAAAUAAUAUGCGCAAUACAAUUUCACCUUAAGAAAUUCUUCCAAGAAAUAUCUCCUCCGUCUUCUUGAUGAGUUCUUGGAGCCUUUACUCAGAGAUCACAAUCUGAAAAUCAAAUGAAAAUGUUAGAAUAUCCAAAGUCGUAUUGUGAUCAGCAGAGUCACGUCUAUUUAUAGUUUUCUAUAAACCAGACACUUUAUGUAGUCGACUUUGCUACUAAUGAAGUCGAAUGUCAUCAGACAGUUAUAACAAUUAAAUCAAUUAGCAGCAGUCAUAACAACCAAAUUGAUUUCGCAUUUAAUUCAGUUGACUUUCAUUUAAUGCUUUAGCAUAGAGUUGAAAUAUAGUUGUUACAACACACAAGCAUUAAUAGAAUUUCAAAUCAAAUAACUAACUAAGUCGAAUUCACUGCACAUGUAGUCGACUUAGACACUUCAAUUCAGUUUGAAAAUCUUUUCAAUGCAAAAUCGCACACAACAUUGCUUUUUAAAAUCUGUGCAAAGUCACAAGUUUUAAUCGACUUACUUCAUAAUGAAGUCGACUUAAAACUUGCAGUUUUGUCUCACAAUAUAAGUUCAUCAAAGUGCAUGUGGUUUUCUUUUCUCAAACAUAUGUCAUGCAAUCACAAAAGAUGUAUCAAGUAUCAAAUAAGUGAAUAUGCAUACAUAUAUCAGAAACAACACAAACAUGUUCAUUAAGAUAUCAUUCACAAUAAAGAAUGGAACAUGUAACACAUAACAAUACAUGUGUUAUUAAUAAUGUGUUGUCAUCAUAAAAAACCAGAGCACUGUGAGAUUAAGGUUCAACUAAACCAGUGCUUCCCUUAUCAAUAAUCUCAACAUCUUUGUUUUAACAGAUUAUUACACAUGCAUAAUCGAUUAUUUCAACAUUUAUGCCUAUAAAUGUUUAUUCUAAGAGUCUUAUAACCGAUUAGACUUCCUGUGUACAAAAAAUAAUCCCGGAUCAGAAUACACUUUUCAAGUGCCACUACAAAGAAUCUUGAAAUUAUCGACAGAUAUGUACCGACAGAUAUAUUCUCGUCGGUAAAUUUCACUUACCGAUAGAUUUUACCGACGAAAUUUAAAAUUUUUUUUUACUGACGUAUUUUACCUACGAAAUCAUUAUCGACGGAUUUUACUGACGGUUUAUUUCAUUGGUAAUGCAUUUUGCACUUGCGAAAGAAAAAAUUCAUCAUUAAUGCAUAUUGUAGUUACCGAUGAAAAAGUUUGUCGGUAAAUCCAUCAGUAAAUAAGACAUGCAUUACCCAUAAAAAAAUUCGACGAUAACAUGAAUGAAAUUUUUCUCACCUAUUUUUUCAUUUACCGAUGGAUUUUUCCGUCGAUAAAUCCAUUAGUAAAAUGUUAACUUACCGACGAAUUUUUUUGUUGGAAUUUAUCGAUAAAAUGAACAAGAAUUUUCUCACCCAUUUUCCUCUCUGUCUGUGUGCCAGUCUCAUUAUAUAUCUCCCUCUCUCACAUUUCUUCCUUAUUUGCACGAGGGCUUCUUAUAGUUCUCCAUCUUCCACUCCAUAUUUUUCUUCUCUUCCAUAGUUUAAAAACUCAAGCUAUCUGAUGACCUUAAUUGAUUAUCACCACAUUAUAAUCGAUUAAGUCAUACAUAUAUGUUUUUGUGCUUGUGGUUUUUCCAUUUUCAGAACAUUUAUUAUGCAUACACAAAUAUGAUCACUUUUCAAACAUAGUCGUAUGCAUCAAUUAACACAAUAUGUCCACAAAUAUGCAUAUGCAAAUUUCACAGUAAGCAUAAAAUAUAUAACACAGUACACAGUACAUACACAUGUGUUUUCAUUAACAAUGUUUUGUCAUAAAAAAACAAACAUUAGAGAGUGGGUUUCGCCAACACUAUGCUACCCUUAUCAAUAAUCUCUCCCGUUUUAGAUUAUGCACAACCAUGAUUAAUAAAAUCAUGUUGUACAGUCCACAAUCAAACACAUUUUCAAUUAUCUCAAUAACACAGUUCAAUUACUUCAAAUACAUCUCCCCCUUUGGGCAUUAGCAAAAAAGGCAUGUUUUACACUAUAAUUGAAACAGAGAUAAUGAAGUAAAUAGAGAUGCAUCAAUUAGUAUUACAGAAUUAUUUUGAUGCUCCCCUUGUCAAUAAUAUUCACAUGAUUUUAUUUUUUUCUCCCCCUUUAUAACAUGUGAACCAUCAUACAAUAACAUACAGUAUUCCCCUUAUCAUUAUGCAUAUUCAAAUAUCAAGUCACAGAUGCAUACCAAAGAUAUGUCAGAGUAUGUAUCAAGCAAUUAUGUUCAGAGAAUGUAUCAGAAAAUUUUACAAAUAUCAUAUCAGAGCAAUUUUGAUACAUUUUUGAAUCAACAAAAUCAAUUUAAUCACUCAUAGUCUCAUAUCAAAUUCACAGGGUAUUAAACAAUUAACCACAACAAAUAACAAUAUCCAUCAUAUCUACUUUUUAUUGGUGGUCUCUUGUUGCAACCGCAUAUCGUACAUACACACGCACACACACAUACACACGUACACGCACAUGCACACACUUAUAUAUAUAUAUAUAUAUAUAUAUAUAUAUAUAUAUAUAUAUAUAUAUAUAUAUAUAUAUAUUAUUCUUACAGUUAAAACAUACAACAUGCCUCUUCAUUUUCAAUUAGACCAUCAGCAGGAUAAGAAAAAACCAUUAAAUUUGUCAUGAAAUUAUUCCAAAGGAUGACAUUAAUAUAUAAGUUCCAUUUAUUAACAUCUUUAUUUCGAUUUUUUCCCAAACUAACUUUGGCUUACCAAGAGUUCAUUUUACUUUCUUACUCUUUUAAUGUGAAAGUUUUUAUGAAAAAAAUCAUCCAAAUAUUUCACUAAACUUCUUAAAAUAAAUGUUUUGUUCAAGUAGGUGAUGAUAUAUAUAACGAACUUUUAAUUAUAUUGAAGAUAAUUCGGCCAAGGGGCCUAGGGCUAUGGUGUGAACUAUCUACUAAUAGGUAUUUAAUUUUAGAUUUAAAUAAUAUCUUUGUACUUUCUAAAUUUGGAAACAAAAAUUCAACUUUGUCCAACUUUAAAACUGACUAAAUAUAAUUCUCUUAAUUCAAUAACAUUAAUUUUAUUUACCUAUUAAAUGACAUUUAAAACUGACAUUUGUGCUGCAAUGCAUGAAAUAAUGUAAAAAACUUAAAUUUUAACCUGAAACCUCAUUUAAUAAAUUAAUACAUUUAAGAUAACUAUAUUUAUUUAUUAUUAAAGUUUGAGAUAAAAAUGAAAUUCAAUUUCACCUCAAUUUAACUAUUAAUUUUCUAUUCUCAUGGCUAUCAUCCUUGAUAUAUAAGCAACUCCAAUGAAGAAUAGUUUAAAACAUAAGUUGGAUCUUAAUGUUAAUUUAAGGUAUAACAACCAGGAUACUAAAAACCAGACAGGUUCAAAAGAAUUAAAGAACGAAAUAAAAAACUUCAAAUUUUAUUUGUUAAUAUCUGAGAGAUAUACACGUGUAUAUAUCUUUAUUUGAUGGAAAGUAUUAUAAAUUAAUUCAAAGGGAGAAACUAUACUGCAAUUUGUUUAAGAAUGCAAAAAUUUGUGGUAUAUGAAAUUGUGGUGAAUAUAUAAUGGUCUUUAUAAACAACGUCUUUAAAUUUGUAGAGUUGGCAACUUUACUUUUGUUCAAUAGGUGAAUUUGAACAAUCUGAAAUAAACUUUUCUACUUUAAAUACUCAUGGGUAAACACAUCGAUACCGUAUUGUACUUUUCAAAUAUGUAGUGUAGAGAUGAAGUGUGGUUGGUCAGAUUUUAGGGUUAUAAUAUAAACCACAAUUCCAAAAACUCAUUAUUUUCAUGGUUUGCAUGGUAUUGGAUUCCGCUUUAACAUAAUCUACUUUCAGGGCUAAAGUUUUGAAGAAAAAUAUUUUAAAAUGAGCUAGGGGGGGCAACUUUUUGUUCGCAUGGAAUGAUGUAACCAUGGUGACAGAUAACAUGAAACUUUUCAAGUGUAUUAUGUUAUUUUCUUUGUAUUAUAAUUCCUAAACUGCACUAAUUAUUUAAUAGAACAGGGCUAAACAUAUGUAUGAAAUAUCUACAAUCCUCUCGUGUUUUGGUAAAAAAAAUGCGUAUAGACACCUGAUAUGAUCUAGUGCAUGUGCGUGACUUAAGAGUACGUAGUGACACUAUUCUAUUAAGCUUUAGUUUUGCCAAAGGAAACCAAAAACAUAGUCAUGCAUGCAUGUGUUAACAUGAUAAACACAGUUAGGUACGUAAAAUCUAGUUAACCCUAAUAGAAAAUUUCAUUAAAAUUAACACAUUAUUUAUUCUUGCCUCUAUUUAAACACUCCAACCCCCAUUAUUAAGUUAUCGGUAUUUCUCUUUCUCCCUCUUCCCCACCCCAUCUUUCUCUCUAUCACAAACAAAAAAAAAAUGGAUAAAAAACAGUGCAAUACGUCUCAAGAUCCUGAAGUGAGAAAAGGGCCAUGGACAAUGGAAGAAGAUUUGAUCUUGAUCAACUAUAUUUCGAACCAUGGGGAAGGUGUUUGGAACUCUUUGGCCAAAGCUGCUGGUAAGCAUAUUUUUUGUUCUUCAACUUUUAUUAUUCUUUCAGUAUUAUAUUUUUAUAUUUUUUUUCUUCUAUUAUUUUUUCUUUCAUACUUAAACCCAGGGUGGGAGAAAAUGAUUCAUGAUUAUGCAUGAUAUAACAGGUCUUAAACGUACUGGAAAGAGUUGCCGACUUAGGUGGCUAAACUAUCUCCGUCCUGAUGUUAGAAGAGGGAAUAUUACACCCGAGGAACAACUUUUGAUCAUGGAGCUUCACGCAAAGUGGGGAAACAGGUAAUUUUUUAACAUCUUUUCUUAAUUAAUAUCAUGAAUUUGACAAAGGAAACAAAGAUCUUUUAUUUAUUUCACAUAAAUUAUAUUUUACCCAGAAAUUAUAUAUUUUUUUCAACCAUUGUUUAUUUUCUAACCAUUAAAGAAGUUUUUUUCCUGUCUUUUAAGUUGUAGUAUUUGGUUUGGAGGCAAUCGAACUAGAAGGCCCAUGAGUACAAUAGUCUUGGAAGACUAUAUUUGAGGGGGAUCGAGGGAGUGUAGUCGGGGAGAAAACUCUAGCCAAGGGAAAGGUUUAAACAUAUGCGGGUUUGUAGAACUUUUUUCCACAAAUAUAUAUAUGUAUUUAUAUAUAUAUAUAUAUAUAUAUAUGUAUAUAUUUAUAUGUAUAUGUAUAUAUAUAUAUAUAUAUNNNNNNNNNNNNNNNNNNNNNNNNNNNNNNNNNNNNNNNNNNNNNNNNNNNNNNNNNNNNNNNNNNNNNNNNNNNNNNNNNNNNNNNNNNNNNNNNNNNNNNNNNAUAUAUAUAUAUAUAUAUAUAUAUAUAUAUAUAUAUAUAUAUAUAUAUAUAUAUAUAUAUCUUUGAUAAAACUGUAUUUAAUUGUUUUAGAGCCUUGAAAAUCAUUGUGUUCGAUUGCCUCCAAAUCCAAGAAUUGGACUGUUUUCCUUUGAAGGGUACAUAUUAUGCAUGAAUCCUUACUGUUGCAUUAAUGCCCGCCCUAGAUCUCUUUCUUUCCUAUAUAUGUAUGCAUAUCUCUGGCGGGAGAGAGGUCCUUUAGAUCUAACAAUAAUCACCACCAGUUAAUCAACGCCAGCGUUCUUCUUCUCCACAUGAUCUUCGAUUCUGUGCUUUUAUUUUAAUUUUUCAUGGAGUCUGUUAAUUGGAGGAAGGUUUUCAUGUUUUUGUCAAAUUGUAGCAUAAUGUUUUCAUUUCUAAUUAUUCGUGUAAAAGUUGCAGGUGAAUUAGCUGCGUGGAAGAUUCUUUAUAUUUAUUUUCGACUGAACAUAAAUCAUACUAUGAUCUUUUUUUAUUUUGAUCACAUAUAUAUAAAAUCUAAAGUAGAUGAUGAAUAAAAGUACCCAUUUUAAUUAUAAGAAAAGUCAUAUAUAUUGUGUUAAAAGCGCAUGAAUACGAGCUUUUAAAGGAAUUAAAAAGAGUAGAUGACGUAAGGGUUUUGGACAUAAGAUAGAAAAAUUGUUGAUGAUAGUAAAAUAUAUGAAGGUUGGAAAAGGGGGAUGAAUUGCAUAUGAAAAGAUGAGAAAAUCGGGUAUAAGUAGUAAAGUUAAAAGAGAUUACCUGAAAGAAGAAAGAUGGUAUUAGAAGUUGUUUCUGAAUAGUUAGUAGCAUUAAGUAUAUAUGUAAAGGUGUUUUAAUUUUGAAAAGCGGCAUAUAGUUUUACAAAUGACUAUUUCUACAAGGCUUAUGAGCGAGGACUAAAUAAGUUGGACAAGAGGACCUUCCACUUUGGGUUGAACUCAUGGAAGUGCGCAUAUCUUUAUAGCUUUCUAGUUCGGAUGAAAGAGAGUUUGAGUGAAAAUAGACCCAAACCAUACACUUUUGGCUCUUCUUAACAAGGGCAGGUGUCCUUGUAAAUUUUAGAGCCUCCCCUUGAAGAUAGACUUACAUAGUGCAUAUAUAAACUGAGGAUAUACUUACAUAGUGCAUAUAAUAACUAGUUAGCACCAUCCUUGCUUUCUCAGUAACGAAAUUGCCUCUCAACCAAGAAAAAAAAAAUGAUCAACCAACAAUAAAAGUGGAAAAGAAAAUAUUUAACCUAACAAAGUUUUCAAAUAUUACAUUUACUAUGUAUAAUAAAAAUGAAAAGUAUUAUUAACGAGGCGCGCAUUCAGACGUGCCUUUUUUUGAAAUAAGCAAGAUGAGUUUAUAGUAAAACAAGUUAAUGACGCAAAUUAUUAAAAGAAACGAAGGUGACGCGAUUAAGAGUUGCUAGAAAAUUUGUAUGCGUGCGUAUGUAUGUAUAUGUAUGAAGGGAUAUGGAUGGAAAAGAGAAUAGGAGACGUUUCGAUUGAACCAUACUCUCUCUAGUCUCUACCUGAGGCAUGCUUUGAGAAACCUGAUUUUCUGUUCUUAGAGAACCCUUGCUACAAAGCAAGGGAAUUAUCUUCAUACAGCAAAGGAAAUUUAGCAUCUUACGUACCUCAACACUGGUCGAUUUAUAAGUGUGAGUCCAAGAUAACGUCACAUUGAUUCUCAGCCAUGGAACAUGGCUUCCAUCAGACUCACAACCGUAUUUAAUAUAGGUGUUGCCACUUUUUAGUUAAUCAAUAAAAGCUGUGGCAGUCAUAUAUAUAGGCAGUUUUUAAUUACAUUUCUAUUAAUGCUUUAUAUUUCAAGCAAAUUAAACAAAUGUUUUAACUUACUCUCACUCAUUCAUGCACACUCGUGUACCCUCUUUUCCACAACGCAUUUCUACAACCGAGUAGCAUUCUAGGUUUUCCUUCUGCUUCUCCGCUUACUGUCAUGAAUACAACCAUACUUAUCAAAUUGUUUUGUAUAGAGUUUUCUUAACCAAGUGAUUAAAGGCAACAAAGUUUUUAUGUAAAAAGCAAACUCUUAUCCUGUUGUUUGGUGUAAUUAGAGUACAAACACACUGUUUACUCAUAUUAAAAUUUUUUACAGCCAAAAAAGCGUUAAAAAACCAGUAGGGUACUAUUCAGUUACAUGACACUGUCUUCUAGAAAUAAAUCAUUC